This 1041-nucleotide long non-coding RNA is filed under the name Volvox carteri. Its description in RNAcentral is "long non-coding RNA (VCAR_LNC000730)". The record is from RNAcentral. Lineage: Eukaryota; Viridiplantae; Chlorophyta; Chlorophyceae; Chlamydomonadales; Volvocaceae.
AGCGAGAGCCACAAUGUAAGAAGGGUUCAGCUCCCUUGGCAACUCCCUGAGUACACUUUGCCUGGUGUUACACACAACAUCCCAAAGGGAUUGUUGCAUUGCUUGUGGGGCUUGGACAAUCCAAAGUUAUUCCCGUGGCAGUGGCAAUCCUAUUGACAGAGUGAGUUGGUCCGAUACUGCCUGUGCCACCGGACAGGCCCAGAAGUGAUGACAGCGAGGGGAUGCACCUCCCAAGGAACCUACUGGAUAACCUCCACAACCACACACUGUUGGCCGCGACAUCCUGAGAUGGGAACUUCCUAACAUGGGCAGCCCAUCAACCGUGAGACGCCACCAAACCUCUUGUUGUUCAUUUUCCCAUUGUAAAUGAGACCAUAAACGAUAGAAGGUCCGUUGCGAAGUAAGAAUAGCCUCGCCCGUAGCCUCUUUAAUAAACAGGGUAUGGGCUACACGGUGAGCCACAGAAACUCGCAAAAGUUGCAUACCAGUCGCUAAUUUAACGGAUAGACCUUGAAGUCUGAUGGGGGCCCCUCAACUCCAAUUCCAACCUAACCUCAACACCAGGGUUUGGGUAACAGACUCAAUGGAGGGCACCAUAGCUGCUCUAGAUUCUGCACUCAGAGGCAACAAAAGACUAGCCGCCUGUCGCCAAUGCGCAGGGAUAUCAGCUAAGAGAGCGACAAUGGCAUUAAUACACUCAUGCCACUUAUGAGAGGUGCAAAGGGAUUGAGCUAGUGGGGUCCGCGGCUGGAGGUAUUGUUCCACGGUUUGAUGCCAUGCCCUGUCGAUUGCUAGACCUGCCUGGUUCGGUGUGUGCAUAUUCUAAAGCAUCUCGGGCAAGAAGAAUAUCCCCAACGUUUUCACUGCUUUACAGCCUAGGAGUGCUUGGUAUCUAACCUCCAGCCCUGGGCGGAUGUUAAUUGAGGGCAGAGUUUUUUUUCAUUUUUGCCCGUCAAUUUUCCAGUCCGAACGGAGGAAUAGGUUUUUAGUCGCGGGAAUAAAAGUAUUCCUAAUCUGUAAGGCGCUGGGGUCUACGCGCCC